GGAUAGGAGGGCGAUCUGGCUGCUACAUCUGUCACCCCAUUGAUCGCCAGGGUUGAUUUGGCUGAUCUGGCUGGCUAGGCGGGUGCCCCCUUCCUCCCUCACCGCUCCAUGUGCGUCCCUCCUGAAGCUGAGCACUCGGUCAGUCGAAGAGGACAGCCAUCCGCAAUAGAGGAGGACAGUUCUUCUCAGUCAAGGGUAUAUGAGUAGCUGCACUCCCCUGCUGGAACCUACAAACAAGCUCUCAAAAAUACUGGUUCUCUAAUGGCUCUCUAACAGUGCUAAGCCCAGGUAUUGUUUCUGGGUUUAUUAGAUUCGUUUUGAUU
Non-coding RNA from Camelus ferus (Wild Bactrian camel), 323 nucleotides. It matches the Rfam family "7SK RNA". From Rfam's summary of the family: 7SK was discovered as an abundant small nuclear RNA in the mid-70s but a possible function has only recently been suggested. Two independent studies have found that 7SK RNA binds the CDK9/cyclin T complex (known as elongation factor P-TEFb). P-TEFb activates transcription by phosphorylating the C-terminal domain of RNA polymerase II. The record is from Rfam. Lineage: Eukaryota; Metazoa; Chordata; Mammalia; Artiodactyla; Camelidae.